UACGUAGGGGGCAAGCGUUGUCCGGAAUCAUUGGGCGUAAAGCGCGUGUAGGCGGCUCGAUAAGUCUGCUGUGAAAGUCCAGGGCUCAACCCUGGAAUGCCGGUGGAAACUGUCGAGCUUGAGUCCGGAAGAGGCGAGUGGAAUUCCUGGUGUAGCGGUGAAAUGCGCAGAUAUCAGGAGGAACACCAAUGGCGAAGGCAGCUCGCUGGGACGGUACUGACGCUGAGACGCGAAAGCGUGGGGAGCAAACAGG
Molecule: ribosomal RNA, 253 nt
Filed under: uncultured bacterium
Lineage: Bacteria
Description: partial 16S ribosomal RNA
Rfam family: Bacterial small subunit ribosomal RNA
Source: RNAcentral